RNAcentral lists this ribosomal RNA (496 nucleotides) under uncultured bacterium. Its description in RNAcentral is "partial 16S ribosomal RNA". It matches the Rfam family "Bacterial small subunit ribosomal RNA", at positions 28 to 506 of the family's 1533-position model. The record is from RNAcentral.
GAUGAGCGCUGGCGGCGUGCCUAAUACAUGCAAGUCGAGCGAACGGACGAGAAGCUUGCUUCUCUGAUGUUAGCGGCGGACGGGUGAGUAACACGUGGAUAACCUACCUAUAAGACUGGGAUAACUUCGGGAAACCGGAGCUAAUACCGGAUGAUAUUUUGAACCGCAUGGUUCAAAAGUGAAAGACGGUCUUGCUGUCACUUAUAGAUGGAUCCGCGCUGCAUUAGCUAGUUGGUAAGGUAACGGCUUACCAAGGCAACGAUGCAUAGCCGACCUGAGAGGGUGAUCGGCCACACUGGAACUGAGACACGGUCCAGACUCCUACGGGAGGCAGCAGUAGGGAAUCUUCCGCAAUGGGCGAAAGCCUGACGGAGCAACGCCGCGUGAGUGAUGAAGGUCUUCGGAUCGUAAAACUCUGUUAUUAGGGAAGAACAUAUGUGUAAGUAACUGUGCACAUCUUGACGGUACCUAAUCAGAAAGCCACGGCUAACUACGU